RNAcentral lists this ribosomal RNA (1612 nucleotides) under metagenome. RNAcentral's name for it is "bacterial LSU rRNA". It matches the Rfam family "Bacterial large subunit ribosomal RNA", at positions 1288 to 2925 of the family's 2925-position model. The record is from RNAcentral.
CAGAGAAUGCCGGAAUGAGUAGCGAGAGGAAGGUGGGAAUCCUUCCGGCCGAAUAUCUAAGGUUUCCAGAGUAAAGCUGAUCUGCUCUGGGUAAGUCGGGGCCUAAGGCGAGGUCGAAAGACGUAGUCGAUGGAUAACAGGUUGAAAUUCCUGUACUAUCCUGUAACAGAACUGUGGGGACACAGGCAGAGAGCGUGAGCCGGGAAUGGAAAGACCGGUACAAGCGAGGUAGGAGAAGAGUUGGCAAAUCCGCUCUUCAAUCUGAAGACGUGAUGUGGACUGAAAAUAAGUAGGGAAGCACGUGAGCUGACUGUCAAGAAAAGCCGCUAUUGUUUGCAGGAUACCCGUACCGUAAACCGACACAGGUGGAUGAGGAGAGAAUCCUAAGGCCGACGGGAGAAGCAUUGUUAAGGAACUCGGCAAAAUGACUCCGUAACUUCGGGAGAAGGAGUGCCAGUAAGAUGGCCGCAGAGAAUUGGCCCAAGCAACUGUUUAGCAAAAACACAGGUCUAUGCAAAACCGAAAGGUGAGGUAUAUGGGCUGACGCCUGCCCGGUGCUGGAAGGUUAAGGGGAGAGGUUAGCGCAAGCGAAGCUUUGAACUUAAGCCCCAGUAAACGGCGGCCGUAACAAUAACGGUCCUAAGGUAGCGAAAUUCCUUGUCGGGUAAGUCCCGACCCGCACGAAAGGCGUAAUGAUUUGGGCACUGUCUCAACAAUGCACCCGGUGAAAUUGAAAUACCAGUGAAGAUGCUGGUUACCUGCGCCAGGACGGAAAGACCCCAUGGAGCUUUACUCCAGCUUGAUACUGGGAUUCGGUAUUGCAUGUACAGGAUAGGUGGGAGGCUAGGAAAUGGUAACGCCAGUUGCCAUGGAGCCAAUGUUGGGAUACCACCCUUGCAGUACUGGGUUUCUAACCAGCAGCCGUGAUCCGGCUGGGGGACAAUGUCAGGUGGGGAGUUUGACUGGGGCGGUCGCCUCCGAAAGGGUAUCGGAGGCGCUCAAAGGUUCCCUCAGAAUGGUUGGAAACCAUUCGAGGAGUGCAAAGGCAGAAGGGAGCUUGACUGCGACACCGACGGGUGGAGCAGGUACGAAAGUAGGACUUAGUGAUCCGGUGGUAUAAAGUGGAUUGCCAUCGCUCAACGGAUAAAAGCUACCCUGGGAUAACAGGCUUAUCACUCCCAAGAGUUCACAUCGACGGAGUGGUUUGGCACCUCGAUGUCGGCUCAUCGCAUCCUGGGGCUGAAGUAGGUCCCAAGGGUUGGGCUGUUCGCCCAUUAAAGCGGUACGCGAGCUGGGUUCAGAACGUCGUGAGACAGUUCGGUCCCUAUCCGGCGUGGGCGUAAGAUAUUUGAGAGGAGCUGUCCUUAGUACGAGAGGACCGGGAUGGACUGGCCGCUGGUGUAUCUGUUGUCUUACCAAAGGCAUAGCAGAGUAGCCAAGCCGGGAAGGGAUAAACGCUGAAGGCAUCUAAGCGUGAAGCCCCCCUCAAGAUGAGAUAUCUCAUAACGUCAAGUUAGUAAGACCCCUUGAAGACGACGAGGUAGAUAGGGCAGAGGUGGAAGUGUGGUAACACAUGGAGCUGACUGUUACUAAUAGGUCGAGGGCAUAACAG